Molecule: non-coding RNA, 30 nt
Filed under: Mus musculus (house mouse)
Lineage: Eukaryota; Metazoa; Chordata; Mammalia; Rodentia; Muridae
Source: RNAcentral
UGUGAUUGUCCUACACCCAGAGCAAAAUGA